RNAcentral lists this long non-coding RNA (390 nucleotides) under Sorghum bicolor (sorghum). Its description in RNAcentral is "long non-coding RNA (SBIC_LNC002299)". Lineage: Eukaryota; Viridiplantae; Streptophyta; Magnoliopsida; Poales; Poaceae. The record is from RNAcentral.
ACACAGAAAAAUGGGAACGUCAAGAGAGGGACGGAUUUCGCUCGGCGAUGUAACAAACAUAUAUACUCCAGGUAUAAGCAUAUACACAUAUUGCAAUGAAAUAUCCCUGGAGAACUCCAAGUUCUACUUCAACAUAUCAGAAGCAUAUUUUUAGCACAUUUCUUGAUUGUGUUGUGAUAAUGCCACCCAGUCCUAGCUCAAACCCUAGACAAUGUACACUACCUACAACAUCAAAAUCCACCCCACCAACUGUAACCUAGAAAAUGUACUCGUUUUGAUUCCAUAUUCUCCAAAUCCAUCCCCACGAACUCUAACCCUAGACGAUGCUACUGAUCCGAUUCAAUUUCAUGGAGGGAGUGAGAAUGAGGGGGGAUUUCGCAUACCUUCUUC